RNAcentral lists this ribosomal RNA (425 nucleotides) under uncultured Bacteroidota bacterium. Its description in RNAcentral is "bacterial SSU rRNA". It matches the Rfam family "Bacterial small subunit ribosomal RNA", at positions 930 to 1497 of the family's 1533-position model. The record is from RNAcentral. Lineage: Bacteria; Pseudomonadati; Bacteroidota.
CGGUGGAGCAUGUGGUUUAAUUCGAUGAUACGCGAGGAACCUUACCUGGGCUAGAAUGCGGUUUGACCGGGGGUGAAAGCCCUUUAUCAAACUAAGGUGUGACGAGCGCAACCCCUAUCAGUAGUUGCCAUCGGGAUGUCAAGUAUCAUGGCCUUUAUGCCCAGGCUACAUACAUGGGGGGUACAAGGGCUGCCACUUGGCAACAAGGCGCUUCCCAAAAAACCUCUCUCAGUUCAGAUUGCAGUGCAACUCGCCUGCAUGAAGCUGGAAUCACUAGUAAUCGAGAUCAGCAACGCUACGGUGAAUACGUUCCCGGACCUUGCACACACCGCCGUCAAGCCAUGGGAGCCGGGUGUACCUAAAGACGGUAACCGAAAAAGAGCUGCCUAUGUAAACUGGGUGACUGGGGCUAAGUCGUACAAGGU